RNAcentral lists this unclassified non-coding RNA (286 nucleotides) under uncultured fungus. Its description in RNAcentral is "sequence contains ITS2". The stretch from base 1 to 52 matches the Rfam family "5.8S ribosomal RNA", at positions 103 to 154 of the family's 154-position model. The record is from RNAcentral. Lineage: Eukaryota; Fungi.
AACGCACCUUGCGCUCCUUGGUAUUCCGAGGAGCAUGCCUGUUUGAGUGUCAUGGUAUUCUCAAUUCCUUCAGUUUUUGCUGAGGUGAUAUUGGACUUGGAGGUUAUUGCUGGCAUCCUCGUGAAACCAGCUCCUCUUAAAUGCAUCAGUGUGAAUCCUCACUUCAUACUCAGUGUGAUAAUUAUCUAUGCUGUGUGUGAGUGAUACAACUUCAUGCUUCGAACCGUCGCAAGACAUACUUUUGACUUCUGACCUCAAAUCAGGUAGGAUUACCCGCUGAACUUAA